RNAcentral lists this ribosomal RNA (559 nucleotides) under uncultured Nitrosopumilales archaeon. RNAcentral describes it as "bacterial SSU rRNA". It matches the Rfam family "Archaeal small subunit ribosomal RNA", at positions 319 to 879 of the family's 1478-position model. The record is from RNAcentral. Lineage: Archaea; Thermoproteati; Nitrososphaerota; Nitrososphaeria; Nitrosopumilales.
GGCCCUACGGGGUGCAGCAGGCGAGAAAACUUUGCAAUGUGCGAAAGCACGACAAGGUUAAUCCGAGUGGUUUCUGCUAAAGGAACCUUUUGUUAGUCCUAGAAACACUAACGAAUAAGGGGUGGGCAAGUUCUGGUGUCAGCCGCCGCGGUAAAACCAGCACCUCAAGUGGUCAGGAUGAUUAUUGGGCCUAAAGCAUCCGUAGCCGGCUCUGUAAGUUUUCGGUUAAAUCUGUACGCUCAACGUACAGGCUGCCGGGAAUACUGCAGAGCUAGGGAGUGGGAGAGGUAGACGGUACUCGAUAGGAAGGGGUAAAAUCCUUUGAUCUAUUGAUGACCACCUGUGGCGAAGGCGGUCUACCAGAACACGUCCGACGGUGAGGGAUGAAAGCUGGGGGAGCAAACCGGAUUAGAUACCCGGGUAGUCCCAGCUGUAAACUAUGCAAACUCAGUGAUGCAUUGGCUUGUGGCCAAUGCAGUGCUGCAGGGAAGCCGUUAAGUUUGCCGCCUGGGAAGUACGUACGCAAGUAUGAAACUUAAAGGAAUUGGCGGGGGAGCAC